RNAcentral lists this ribosomal RNA (243 nucleotides) under uncultured bacterium. Its description in RNAcentral is "partial 16S ribosomal RNA". It matches the Rfam family "Bacterial small subunit ribosomal RNA", at positions 88 to 334 of the family's 1533-position model. The record is from RNAcentral.
CCGGCGAGUGGCGAACGGGUGAGUAAUAUAUCGGAACGUACCGAGUAAUGGGGGAUAACCAAUCGAAAGAUUGGCUAAUACCGCAUACGUCCUACGGGAGAAAGCGGGGGAUCGCAAGACCUCGCGUUAUUCGAGCGGCCGAUAACUGAUCAGCUAGUUGGUGGGGUAAAGGCCUACCAAGGCGACGAUCAGUAGCGGGUCUGAGAGGACGAUCCGCCACACUGGGACUGAGACACGGCCCAG